This 74-nucleotide transfer RNA is filed under the name Solirubrobacterales bacterium. Its description in RNAcentral is "tRNA-Thr". It matches the Rfam family "tRNA". From Rfam's summary of the family: Transfer RNA (tRNA) molecules are approximately 80 nucleotides in length. Their secondary structure includes four short double-helical elements and three loops (D, anti-codon, and T loops). The record is from RNAcentral. Lineage: Bacteria; Bacillati; Actinomycetota; Thermoleophilia; Solirubrobacterales.
GCCGCCGUAGCUCAGCUGGCCAGAGCGCCGCUCUUGUAAAGCGGAUGUCGGGAGUUCGAAUCUCCCCGGCGGCU